GUACCACACCAAGCAAAGCUCUCUGGGUGACACAGUUGCCACCACCAGGGCACUGACCCUUACUCUGUGUUCUCCUAGCUCCUCCUGAGGGUGCUGUAGGAGACAUCUGCAAAAAAGAAGAUGCUGGCAAUAUGCCAUCAACCUCAGAGGGGAGUAUUUACCUUGAAAUGGCUCACUUCCUGAGGAACAAACUUGCUGGAUCUAGUGUACGGAAACCUGAUUCUGGGUUCCUUUGGGAAGGAGCAUUACGGGCCUGCUCCUGGACCACCUCAUAUCACCAGCACCCUCUACCCAAGGUCCUGGAGCCAACACUGGAGUAAAAGAGCACAAGAGAACUCCUUAGAGGUGGAAGAUAACCCUAAGGAAUAUCUUGGAUGUCUUCACGGGGCUUAUGACUUAUUCUGAGGUUUACAAAAUAGAGGCCCCCAGCUGAGCAAAGAGAGGGCUGCAGCGCCGAGGGAACAGCUGCCGGACUCACCGGAGAGGCCUCCUGGAGCACGCCGGGACCCCCUCCACCCCCUGGCUUUGG
RNAcentral lists this long non-coding RNA (529 nucleotides) under Homo sapiens (human). Its description in RNAcentral is "HSALNT0392978". Lineage: Eukaryota; Metazoa; Chordata; Mammalia; Primates; Hominidae. The record is from RNAcentral.